Solanum stenotomum is the source of this 407-nucleotide long non-coding RNA. RefSeq lists it as uncharacterized. Lineage: Eukaryota; Viridiplantae; Streptophyta; Magnoliopsida; Solanales; Solanaceae. The transcript has 2 exons. The record is from RefSeq and is a predicted model, not a curated record.
UCUAAGAACUUGCGGACUCCUUACCGGAAGUAAACAACAACAGAUUUAUUACAGAUGGCAUUACUCAAGAUGGUAUUGAUAAAUUGAAGCCGCCUAGACCCCUGUUGAGGACUGCCUCUACCAAGUGCUGAUUAAGGGAAAUAUGUGAAAUUCUCGUUUUGUUAUUUCAUUUUAUCUUUUGGUGUGAUAUAUGAAGCCACAACACGUGAAACGAGGGUGGGUGAUGAUUAUUUUUUUUUGUAAUGAAUGGCAAUCUCUCGGAUUGCUUUUCUAGGUUUGUUAUGAUAUAAACUUGUCCUAAGCUAUUUUUUCACCCGUGUUAGUAAUUGUAAUCACAGAAAUUUGUACAUGCUGAAAUAAGUACACGCCAGUGAAUGGAAGAAUACUACAAUGUUAUGUUCUUUCUA